This 497-nucleotide ribosomal RNA is filed under the name uncultured bacterium. RNAcentral's name for it is "partial 16S ribosomal RNA". It matches the Rfam family "Bacterial small subunit ribosomal RNA", at positions 28 to 507 of the family's 1533-position model. The record is from RNAcentral.
GAUGAACGCUGGCGGCGUGCCUAAUACAUGCAAGUCGAGCGAACAGACGAGCAUCUUGCUCCUCUGACGUUAUCGUCGGACGGGUGAGUAGCACGUGGAUAACCUACCUAUAAGACUGGAAUAACUUCGAGAACCCGGAACUAGUACCUGAUAAUCUAUUGAACCGCAUGGUUCAAUAGUGGAAGGCGGUUUUGCUGUCACUUAUAGAUGGAUCCCCGCCGCAUUAGCUCGUUGUUAAGGUGACGGCUUACCAAGGCAACGAUGCGUAGCCGACCUGAGGGGGGGAGCGGCCACAGCGGAACUGAGACACGGUCCAGACUCCUACGGGAGGCAGCAGUAGGGAAGCUUCAGCAAUGGGCGAAAGCCUGACGGAGCAACGGCGAGUGAGUGAUGAAGGUCUUCGGAUCGUAAAACUCUGUUAUUAGGGAAGAACAAAUGUGUAAGUAACUAUGCAGGUCUUGACGGUACCUAAUCAGAAAGCCACGGCUAACUACGUG